GAUGAACGCUGGCGGCGUGCCUAAUACAUGCAAGUCGAGCGAACAGACGAGGAGCUUGCUCCUCUGACGUUAGCGGCGGACGGGUGAGUAACACGUGGAUAACCUACCUAUAAGACUGGGAUAACUUCGGGAAACGGAUGCUAAUACCGGAUAAAAAAUUUAACCGCAUGGUUUAAGAUUGAAAGACGGUUUUGCAUCACUUUAUGAUGGUACCGCGCCGUCUUAGCUAGUUGGUAAGGUAAAGGCUUACCAAGGCAACGAUGCGUAGCCGACCUGAGAGGGUGAUCGGCCACACUGGAACUGAGACACGGUCCAGACUCCUACGGGAGGCAGCAGUAGGGAAUCUUCCGCAAUGGGCGAAAGCCUGACGGAGCAACGCCGCGUGAUUGAUGAAGGUCUUCGGAUCGUAAAACUCUGUUAUUAGGGAAGAACAAAUGUGUAAGUAACUAUGCACGUCUUGACGGUACCUAAUCAGAAAGCCACGGCUAACUACGUG
This 496-nucleotide ribosomal RNA is filed under the name uncultured bacterium. RNAcentral describes it as "partial 16S ribosomal RNA". It matches the Rfam family "Bacterial small subunit ribosomal RNA", at positions 28 to 507 of the family's 1533-position model. The record is from RNAcentral.